CAACAGAGCCGAGGAACUCUUGAGUUUACCUUAAUUUUGUUUCCUAGCACGUGCAGAUACUGAGUGUCUAAUUCUGGCUUAAACCAUUGUGUCUGGAGAGGAAAGCCACCUUGAAUUCACACGGCUACUAGGGUCCAUUCUGGAAUACACAGGGAAUAAUGUGAUGAUUUAUAUGCAAAGCACUGCAAGCUUGCCUAGAGCAGUCCAGCAAAUGCCAAGUGUUUACUAAGAGGAUACCAUGUUCCUGAAUCUCGACAGAAAACAGCAUUAUAGAAUGAGGCUGUACCUGCGGCCAUUUUGCUAUUGAAACUUAUAGAAAUGUUUUUUUGCAGUUUCUUUACAUGCUACUAAUAGUCAAAUACAG
Molecule: long non-coding RNA, 364 nt
Filed under: Pan paniscus (pygmy chimpanzee)
Lineage: Eukaryota; Metazoa; Chordata; Mammalia; Primates; Hominidae
Description: lncRNA (ENSPPAG00000044605.1)
Source: RNAcentral